AUGACUCUGCGGUUUCCGUGAUUGGAUAGACAUACGGGGCGAGCCAACAGUUUCAAUUCGGGAGCUCGAUCACGCGGCGUGGAAGUGGUAGCCUCGGCUUCGGCUGAGAUAAGACAGAAGCGCCCAAUCGGCACCCACCUGCGUUUGCAGGUUCGCAACCCACUGUCCACACGAUCUCGCGGAGUCAUU
Molecule: non-coding RNA, 189 nt
Filed under: Chloroflexota bacterium
Lineage: Bacteria; Bacillati; Chloroflexota
Description: Chloroflexi bacterium 6S RNA
Rfam family: 6S / SsrS RNA
About the family: E. coli 6S RNA was the first non coding RNA to be sequenced, but its function was unknown until recently. It consists of 184 nucleotides that fold into an extended hairpin structure with a large single-stranded internal bulge.
Source: RNAcentral